AUGCACCUGGGCAAGGAUUCGG
This 22-nucleotide microRNA is filed under the name Dasypus novemcinctus (nine-banded armadillo). RNAcentral describes it as "dno-miR-500a-3p". Its record names the gene dno-miR-500a-3p. Lineage: Eukaryota; Metazoa; Chordata; Mammalia; Cingulata; Dasypodidae. The record is from miRBase by way of RNAcentral.